This is a non-coding RNA of Potamilus streckersoni, 77 nucleotides long. The record is from the annotation of a GenBank genome assembly. Lineage: Eukaryota; Metazoa; Mollusca; Bivalvia; Unionida; Unionidae.
GUUCCGGUGGCCUAGUGGUCAAAGCGUUUGUCUUGGAUGUGAUCGGUCGGUCGUGGGUUCAAUUCCCGACCGAGUCA